Macaca mulatta (Rhesus monkey) is the source of this 148-nucleotide unclassified non-coding RNA. It matches the Rfam family "Metazoan signal recognition particle RNA". Rfam says of the family: The signal recognition particle (SRP) is a universally conserved ribonucleoprotein. It is involved in the co-translational targeting of proteins to membranes. Lineage: Eukaryota; Metazoa; Chordata; Mammalia; Primates; Cercopithecidae. The record is from Ensembl.
GCUGGGUGUGGUGGUGCACACCUGUAGUCCCAGCUACUCAGGAGGCUGAGGCAGGAGAAUCGCUUGAACCCAGGAGGUGGAGGCUGCAGUGAACUGAGAUUGUGACACUGCACUCCACCCUGGGCGAAAGAGCGAGACUCUGUCCCCU